AGAGUUUGAUCAUGGCUCAGAACGAACGCUGGCGGCAGGCCUAACACAUGCAAGUCGAACGCCCUAGCAAUAGGGAGUGGCAGACGGGUGAGUAACGCGUGGGAACGUGCCCUUCGGUUCGGAAUAAGCCGGGGAAACCUGGUCUAAUACCGGAUACGUGCGAGAGCAGAAAGAUUUAUCGCCGAAGGAUCGGCCCGCGUCCGAUUAGCUAGUUGGUGAGGUAAUGGCUCACCAAGGCGACGAUCGGUAGCUGGUCUGAGAGGAUGAUCAGCCACACUGGGACUGAGACACGGCCCAGACUCCUACGGGAGGCAGCAGUGGGGAAUAUUGGACAAUGGGCGCAAGCCUGAUCCAGUCAUGCCGCGUGAGUGAUGAAGGCCCUAGGGUUGUAAAGCUCUUUCGCCAGGGACGAUAAUGACGGUACC
RNAcentral lists this ribosomal RNA (425 nucleotides) under uncultured Methylocystaceae bacterium. RNAcentral's name for it is "bacterial SSU rRNA". It matches the Rfam family "Bacterial small subunit ribosomal RNA", at positions 8 to 479 of the family's 1533-position model. Lineage: Bacteria; Pseudomonadati; Pseudomonadota; Alphaproteobacteria; Hyphomicrobiales; Methylocystaceae. The record is from RNAcentral.